Molecule: ribosomal RNA, 141 nt
Filed under: uncultured eukaryote
Lineage: Eukaryota
Description: partial 18S ribosomal RNA
Rfam family: Eukaryotic small subunit ribosomal RNA
Source: RNAcentral
UGGUGGAGUGAUUUGUCUGGUUAAUUCCGUUAACGAACGAGACCCCUGCCUGCUAAAUAGCUGGGUGAGUGAAUUUCACUGACUGCAGCUUCUUAGAGGGACGUGCAUUCUAUUAGAUGCAGGAAGAUAGGGGCAAUAACA